Molecule: ribosomal RNA, 494 nt
Filed under: uncultured archaeon
Lineage: Archaea
Description: bacterial SSU rRNA
Rfam family: Archaeal small subunit ribosomal RNA
Source: RNAcentral
GUGCAGCAGGCGCGAAAACUUUACAAUGCCGGCAACGGCGAUAAGGGGACCUCGAGUGCCAGGUUACAAAUCUGGCUGUCGUGAUGCCUAAAAAGCAUUGCAUAGCAAGGGCCGGGCAAGACCGGUGCCAGCCGCCGCGGUAACACCGGCGGCUCGAGUGGUAACCGUUAUUAUUGGGUCUAAAGGGUCUGUAGCCGGCCGGAUAAGUCUCUUGAGAAAUCCAGCAGCUCAACUGUUGGGCUUUCAGGAGAUACUGUUCGGCUCGAGGCCGGGAGAGGUGAGAGGUACUUCAGGGGUAGGGGUGAAAUCUUGUAAUCCUUGAAGGACCACCAGUGGCGAAGGCGUCUCACCAGAACGGACCUGACGGCAAGGGACGAAAGCUAGGGGCACGAACCGGAUUAGAUACCCGGGUAGUCCUAGCCGUAAACGAUACUCGCUAGGUGUCGGCCACGGUGCGACCGUUGUCGGUGCCGUAGGGAAGCCGUGAAGCGAGC